RNAcentral lists this ribosomal RNA (1373 nucleotides) under uncultured bacterium. Its description in RNAcentral is "bacterial SSU rRNA". It matches the Rfam family "Bacterial small subunit ribosomal RNA", at positions 28 to 1381 of the family's 1533-position model. The record is from RNAcentral.
GAUGAACGCUGGCGGCGUGCCUAAUACAUGCAAGUCGAGCGAACGGACGAGAAGCUUGCUUCUCUGAUGUUAGCGGCGGACGGGUGAGUAACACGUGGAUAACCUACCUAUAAGACUGGGAUAACUUCGGGAAACCGGAGCUAAUACCGGAUAAUAUUUUGAACCGCAUGGUUCAAAAGUGAAAGACGGUCUUGCUGUCACUUAUAGAUGGAUCCGCGCUGCAUUAGCUAGUUGGUAAGGUAACGGCUUACCAAGGCAACGAUGCAUAGCCGACCUGAGAGGGUGAUCGGCCACACUGGAACUGAGACACGGUCCAGACUCCUACGGGAGGCAGCAGUAGGGAAUCUUCCGCAAUGGGCGAAAGCCUGACGGAGCAACGCCGCGUGAGUGAUGAAGGUCUUCGGAUCGUAAAACUCUGUUAUUAGGGAAGAACAUAUGUGUAAGUAACUGUGCACAUCUUGACGGUACCUAAUCAGAAAGCCACGGCUAACUACGUGCCAGCAGCCGCGGUAAUACGUAGGUGGCAAGCGUUAUCCGGAAUUAUUGGGCGUAAAGCGCGCGUAGGCGGUUUUUUAAGUCUGAUGUGAAAGCCCACGGCUCAACCGUGGAGGGUCAUUGGAAACUGGAAAACUUGAGUGCAGAAGAGGAAAGUGGAAUUCCAUGUGUAGCGGUGAAAUGCGCAGAGACAUGGAGGAACACCAGUGGCGAAGGCGACUUUCUGGUCUGUAACUGACGCUGAUGUGCGAAAGCGUGGGGAUCAAACAGGAUUAGAUACCCUGGUAGUCCACGCCGUAAACGAUGAGUGCUAAGUGUUAGGGGGUUUCCGCCCCUUAGUGCUGCAGCUAACGCAUUAAGCACUCCGCCUGGGGAGUACGACCGCAAGGUUGAAACUCAAAGGAAUUGACGGGGACCCGCACAAGCGGUGGAGCAUGUGGUUUAAUUCGGAGCAACGCGAAGAACCUUACCAAAUCUUGACAUCCUUUGACAACUCUAGAGAUAGAGCUUUCCCCUUCGGGGGACAAAGUGACAGGUGGUGCAUGGUUGUCGUCAGCUCGUGUCGUGAGAUGUUGGGUUAAGUCCCGCAACGAGCGCAACCCUUAAGCUUAGUUGCCAUCAUUAAGUUGGGCACUCUAAGUUGACUGCCGGUGACAAACCGGAGGAAGGUGGGGAUGACGUCAAAUCAUCAUGCCCCUUAUGAUUUGGGCUACACACGUGCUACAAUGGACAAUACAAAGGGCAGCGAAACCGCGAGGUCAAGCAAAUCCCAUAAAGUUGUUCUCAGUUCGGAUUGUAGUCUGCAACUCGACUACAUGAAGCUGGAAUCGCUAGUAAUCGUAGAUCAGCAUGCUACGGUGAAUACGUUCCCGCGGUCU